GAUGAACGCUGGCGGCGUGCCUAAUACAUGCAAGUCGAGUGAACAGAUGAGGAGCUUGCUCCUCUGACGUUAGCGGCGGACGGGUGAGUAACACGUGGAUAACCUACCUAUAAGACUGGGAUAACUUCGGGAAACCGGAGCUAAUACCGGAUAAUAUAUUGAACCGCAUGGUUCAAUAGUGAAAGACGGUUUUGCUGUCACUUAUAGAUGGAUCCGCGCCGCAUUAGCUAGUUGGUAAGGUAACGGCUUACCAAGGCAACGAUGCGUAGCCGACCUGAGAGGGUGAUCGGCCACACUGGAACUGAGACACGGUCCAGACUCCUACGGGAGGCAGCAGUAGGGAAUCUUCCGCAAUGGGCGAAAGCCUGACGGAGCAACGCCGCGUGAGUGAUGAAGGUCUUCGGAUCGUAAAACUCUGUUAUUGGGGAAGAACAAAUGUGUAAGUAACUAUGCACGUCUUGACGGUACCUAAUCAGAAAGCCACGGCUAACUACGUG
Molecule: ribosomal RNA, 497 nt
Filed under: uncultured bacterium
Lineage: Bacteria
Description: partial 16S ribosomal RNA
Rfam family: Bacterial small subunit ribosomal RNA
Source: RNAcentral